This 936-nucleotide long non-coding RNA is filed under the name Nicotiana benthamiana. RNAcentral describes it as "long non-coding RNA (NBEN_LNC019988)". Lineage: Eukaryota; Viridiplantae; Streptophyta; Magnoliopsida; Solanales; Solanaceae. The record is from RNAcentral.
CACUUACCAGGAGAGCAGCUGCUGCAUUUAGUGCCUGUGAAUUUGUUUGGUAGAUAAUGCAAGAACUUUCAAGGUGAAAGGACAUUAUUGAAAAUGGAAACAAGUGCUUUGUCAAUCUUUUUAUGAGGAGCCUUAAAUCUGACAAGAAGCUACAUCGUUUAUAAGGUUAUUUGAAGCAUAAGAGACAAAGAAACUUACAAAUGCAUCAGCAAUCGGCCCUUUUUCUCCGGACAGCACGCGUUUGAGCAUGUCGGCAUUGUAAUCUGGACCUCCACCUCGCAAGCUUUCCAGAGUACAACGCGGGAUACCAAAGUCCACUACUGAAGAAUAAUAUUGUCAGAUUAAUUUUUCCACAUAGACAAAAAUAAAAAAUAAAUAAAAAAAGAGGCAGCCCGGUGCACGAAGCAUCCCGCGGUCACGCAGGGUCCGGAGAAAGGUCGCAUCCCAAGGGGGUAUGAUGUAGGCAGCCUACCCCAAAGAGACAAUGUUAUAUGACUAGUGAAAAACACAUUAACCAUAUUGCAUCAUUCUUUACUGCAGAGUUCACCAAAUACUUAGGGCGGCAUUCACUUGUUAUCAGUGCGAAGCAAUAAAUACAUCCGGCUCCAAGCUGCCCUUUUUCUGAUUUCAUGAGUUACUUGCAUGGAUCAAAGGAGAACUUCUCAAUAUUGUCUGGUGUGACAUCAAGGACUAAUCCAGGGCCUGCGACUGCGAAGCAAUAAAUACAUCCAGCUCCGGGCUACCCUUUUUCUGAUUUCAUGAGUUACUUACAUGGAUCAAAGGAGAACUUUUCAAUAUUGUCUGGUGUGACAUCAAGGACUAAUCCAGGGCCUGCGAAAUGAAUUGUCAUACUAAACGAUAUAGAAGCAAAGUCAAACUAAAAAGGACAAUGUUACCACAGACAACAUAUUUACUAUUGUCGUGGAAGGGGACCAU